GAUGAACGCUGGCGGCGUGCCUAAUACAUGCAAGUCGAGCGAACAGAUGAGGAGCUUGCUCCUCUGACGUUAGCGGCGGACGGGUGAGUAACACGUGGAUAACCUACCUAUAAGACUGGGAUAACUUCGGGAAACCGGAGCUAAUACCGGAUAAUAUAUUGAACCGCAUGGUUCAAUAGUGAAAGACGGUUUUGCUGUCACUUAUAGAUGGAUCCGCGCCGCAUUAGCUAGUUGGUAAGGUAACGGCUUACCAAGGCAACGAUGCGUAGCCGACCUGAGAGGGUGAUCGGCCACACUGGAACUGAGACACGGUCCAGACUCCUACGGGAGGCAGCAGUAGGGAAUCUUCCCCAAUGGGCGAAAGCUUGACGGAGCAACGCCGCGUGAGUGAUGAAGGUCUUCGGAUCGUAAAACUCUGUUAUUAGGGAAGAACAAAUGUGUAAGUAACUAUGCACGUCUUGACGGUACCUAAUCAGAAAGCCACGGCUAACUACGUG
RNAcentral lists this ribosomal RNA (497 nucleotides) under uncultured bacterium. RNAcentral's name for it is "partial 16S ribosomal RNA". It matches the Rfam family "Bacterial small subunit ribosomal RNA", at positions 28 to 507 of the family's 1533-position model. The record is from RNAcentral.